This 441-nucleotide ribosomal RNA is filed under the name uncultured bacterium. Its description in RNAcentral is "partial 16S ribosomal RNA". It matches the Rfam family "Bacterial small subunit ribosomal RNA", at positions 338 to 795 of the family's 1533-position model. The record is from RNAcentral.
CCUACGGGUGGCAGCAGUGGGGGAUAUUGCACAAUGGGGGAAACCCUGAUGCAGCGACGCCGCGUGGGCGAAGAAGUAUUUCGGUAUGUAAAGCCCUAUCAGCAGGGAAGAAGAAAUGACGGUACCUGAGUAAGAAGCACCGGCUAAAUACGUGCCAGCAGCCCCGGUAAUACGUAGGGUGCAAGCGUUAUCCGGAUUUACUGGGUGUAAAGGUAGCGCAGGCGGCACGGCAAGCCUGAGGUGAAAGCCCGCGCUCAACGUGGGAACUGCCUUGGAAACUGGCAAACUGGAGUGUGUGAGAGGAUAGUGGAAGUCCAGGUGUAGGAGUGAAAUGCGUAGAUAUCUGGAGGAACAUCAGUGGCGAAGGCGACUAUCUGGCACAUAACUGACGCUGAGGAGCGAAAGCGUGGGUAGCAAACAGGAUUAGAUACCCUUGUAGUC